GAUGAAGAACGUAGCGAAAUGCGAUAAGUAAUGUGAAUUGCAGAAUUCAGUGAAUCAUCGAAUCUUUGAACGCACAUUGCGCCCGCCAGUAUUCUGGCGGGCAGGCCUGUUCGAGCGUCAUUACAACCCUCAGGCCCCCGGGCCUGGCGUUGGGGAUCGGCGGAGCCCCCCGUGGGCACACGCCGUCCCCCAAAUGCAGUGGCGGUCCCGCCGCAGCUUCCAUCGCGUAGUAGCUAACACCUCGCGACUGGAGAGCGGCGCGGCCACGCCGUAAAACACCCAACUCUUCUGAAGUUGACCUCGAAUCAGGUAGGAAUACCCGCUGAACUUAAGCAUAUCAAUAAGCGGAGGA
This 352-nucleotide unclassified non-coding RNA is filed under the name soil metagenome. RNAcentral describes it as "partial contains 5.8S ribosomal RNA, internal transcribed spacer 2, and large subunit ribosomal RNA". The stretch from base 1 to 120 matches the Rfam family "5.8S ribosomal RNA", at positions 35 to 154 of the family's 154-position model. The record is from RNAcentral.